Hypoxylon fragiforme is the source of this 85-nucleotide non-coding RNA. NCBI's taxonomy places the organism in Eukaryota, Fungi, Ascomycota, Sordariomycetes, Xylariales, Hypoxylaceae. The record is from the annotation of a RefSeq genome assembly.
GCAUGAAUGGUGUAGCGGUAACAUUCAACCCUUCCACUCUCUCUAGAGCAAGGUUGAGCUCGGGGUUCGACUCCCCGUUCAUGCA